Molecule: ribosomal RNA, 478 nt
Filed under: uncultured bacterium
Lineage: Bacteria
Description: partial 16S ribosomal RNA
Rfam family: Bacterial small subunit ribosomal RNA
Source: RNAcentral
GACGAACGCUGGCGGCGUGCUUAACACAUGCAAGUCGAAUGGUAAGGCCCUUCGGGGUACACGAGUGGCGAACGGGUGAGUAACACGUGGGUGAUCUGCCCUGCACUUCGGGAUAAGCCUGGGAAACUGGGUCUAAUACCGGAUAGGACUCCUGGCUUCAUGGUUGGGGGUGGAAAGCUUUUGCGGUGUGGGAUGGGCCCGCGGCCUAUCAGCUUGUUGGUGGGGUAAUGGCCUACCAAGGCGACGACGGGUAGCCGGCCUGAGAGGGUGACCCGUCAAACGGGGGCUGAGAGACGGCCCAGACUCCUACCGGAGGCACCGGUGGGGAAAAUUGCACAAUGGGCGCAAGCCUGAUGCAGCGACGCAGCGUGAGGGAUAACGGCCUUCGGAUUGUAAACCUCUUUCAGCUAUGGCGAAGCGAAAGUGACGGUAGUAGCAGAAGAAGGACCGGCCAACUACGUGCCAGCCGCCGCGGUAA